RNAcentral lists this ribosomal RNA (253 nucleotides) under uncultured bacterium. Its description in RNAcentral is "partial 16S ribosomal RNA". It matches the Rfam family "Bacterial small subunit ribosomal RNA", at positions 524 to 776 of the family's 1533-position model. The record is from RNAcentral.
UACAGAGGUCCCAAGCGUUGUCCGGAUUCAUUGGGCGUAAAGGGUGCGUAGGUGGUGAGGUAAGUUGGAUGUGAAAUCUCGGGGCUCAACCUCGAAACUGCAUUCAAUACUGCCUUGCUGGAGUACUGGAGAGGAGAUUGGAAUUUACGGUGUAGCAGUGAAAUGCGUAGAUAUCGUAAGGGAGACCAGUGGCGAAGGCGGAUCUCUGGACAGUUACUGACACUGAGGCACGAAGGCCAGGGGAGCAAACGGG